This is a long non-coding RNA of Mauremys reevesii (Reeves's turtle), 656 nucleotides long. RefSeq lists it as uncharacterized. The record is from RefSeq and is a predicted model, not a curated record. The transcript has 3 exons. Lineage: Eukaryota; Metazoa; Chordata; Testudines; Geoemydidae.
GCUUAUGGAGUUUAAUGGAGGGGUGUGGUGUGCAUGUGGGUCAGUCUGGGGAAGGUACUGCUGGAAGGCUGGCUUCCAUAUGAGGCAGAGCUAAGGUUGGGCCUGUGAUGAACACACUUGUGGCAGUGCUCUAGCCAGGGUCUCUUACUGCACCUUGGCAAAGGUCAGCUUCCAUUAGGGUGACACCAUACCCAGUCAUUGUCCAGGCUUUGCCCAGGCUCAGCUAGAAGUAAGAAAACUGGGUUUUAUGAAGCAAUCACCAGAACAGUUUGCUUCUCGACUGAUCCCCAGCUGGAGAAUCUGCAGCCCCAAUGUCAUUUAGUGACAGAGUGAGGUGACGGAAAUAGAGAUUCAGAAAAAAACCUGUCCAUGUUAGCCUUAAUUCCUGGAGCAGCACUGGGAAACACCCCCAGAGCCGUAAAACCGAGUCAGUCUGUCAGGACCAUGAACUAGAAUUGCUGCCAAGUCUUGGAGAUUCUCCCCUACACAGACCAUGCCCGAUCUACCAACAUCUCCAUCCUACCCCUCAUGGUUCAACGAUAAACUGGAGAACCUAGUCCUUUGCCGGGGCAGAGGGAAACAGGGAGCUGCAAGCAGCUUGAAUAUCUGCUGGGGGGGUUGUUCCUCUACAAUAAAGAAAGAUCCUUGACUCAAAA